This 407-nucleotide ribosomal RNA is filed under the name Troglophilus brevicauda. RNAcentral describes it as "partial 16S ribosomal RNA". It matches the Rfam family "Bacterial large subunit ribosomal RNA", at positions 1939 to 2551 of the family's 2925-position model. Lineage: Eukaryota; Metazoa; Arthropoda; Insecta; Orthoptera; Rhaphidophoridae. The record is from RNAcentral.
AUUUUGACUGUGCAAAGGUAGCAUAAUCAUUAGUCUUUUAAUUGGGGACUGGUAUGAAUGGUUUAACGAGGUAUUAGCUGUCUCAUUUUAAUAAGUUGAAUUUAACUUUUGAGUCAAAAGGCUUAAAUGGAAUUGGAGGACGAGAAGACCCUAUAGAGCUUUAUAAAUUAAAUAUUGAGUUGGAUUUAGAUGUUUUGUUUAGCUUAAAUAUUUAAUUUAUUUUAUUGGGGUGAUAUGAAGAUUUAAUAAACUCUUUAUAAUAAAUAAACACUAAUAAGUGAAUAAUUGAUCCAUUUUUAGUGAUUAUAAGAUUAAGUUACCUUAGGGAUAACAGCGUAAUGUUUUUUAAGAGUUCUUAUCGACAAAAAAGAUUGCGACCUCGAUGUUGGAUUAAGGAAAAAAUUGGG